Molecule: long non-coding RNA, 4223 nt
Organism: Passer domesticus (house sparrow)
Lineage: Eukaryota; Metazoa; Chordata; Aves; Passeriformes; Passeridae
Exons: 5
Source: RefSeq, a predicted model, not a curated record
CCUGAAUUCAAGAGAGAAAACACCACUGGAGAUAUUGCACAACAAAAAUAGCAGCACCUCUGGGGCUAAAACAGACAGAGAAGAACAAGUUAGAAAUGCAAGUAUUGCCAGUCUUUUCAAUUAGCUGAAUAAAGGAGAUAAGGACUAUAGCAGACAUUACGUGGAUCAUUAUGUACACAACAGGAGAUGAUGCUCUGCAGAGGAAAUGCAAAGAGGUUGAAGACAGGAUGUGGAAUCAAGACUGAUCAUGUGUCUAAUGGAGAUUUUUACUUUCUACUGCUUAAACAACUCAAAUGAGAAGAGGUGAGUCCUUACAGAGGAAAGCAGGAGAGAAGAAGCUUCAACACCUUAAACAACCAGAGAAUGCGAAUGGGAAGAUCACCACUCGCUGAAGGAUGUUCACAAAACAACUCCAAAGAUCCAUGAAAACAGGGUGCCCACGGAGGCAAGAGUGGAUUUAACUUAUUUAACUGUGGUGUCUUGACAGCCUUUAACCCAGAUGAGGUCAAAAAACAACAACAAAAAAGCUGAAGUUAGACAUGAGGAUGCUCAAGAUGAAGUUUAGUGGCGACGAUCUCAAGCAUUAAGCACACAAUACACUACGCUUAGAGAAGAAGGAAAGAUUAUUGAAGCUGUCAAGGGACCUGACUUACUCAAAUAUUUUGGGUUUGGUUUUUGCUGUUGCUGUUUUUAAACACAGCACAGACUUCUUGGUCCUCAGCUAAUUAUACUUGACCCUUGCUUCCUGAAAACAUUCUGAAUGGUUUGUUAUUUUCCAUUGAUUACAUGGCACCAGAAACAGGCUGCCUGGAGAAACAUCUCAGCUUUCUCCUUUAAAAGUCAUGAAAGAAAAGUCUGUGCAUCAUAAGCAAGUUCUGACCAUUUUACUCACAGAAGUUGAAAAACUGAGUAUCUACUUUUAGCCAUCUAAUACAUUCCAGUUUGCCCUCUGGGAAUAUUUUAAGGGAACAUAGGAGCUUUGACAUUAUGCUUUCAGAGUAUAUGUAAAGUGAAUUCUAACCAAUUUGAUUGGUUUCAAGUUCCUGAUGAUUUAAUAUUGCUUAAGUUUCCCCAAACAUACAGGAUUACUAGAAGUGUGUAGACAAACAACAAAAAUGAGAAUAAAGCUACCUGAUAACUUUUCAAUGCAGUGGUAUCAUCACAGUGAAAAUAAGACAUCCCUGUAUCAUGGCUUUAAGUACCCAACAAGAGUCUCACCCUGUUAAAUCGUUUGGCUUGGAAAGUGUGACCAUUUGCACAAUAGAGCUUUCGCCACCGGCGGGCGCCUCGGCGAUAAAUGGACUCUAAGAGGAAAAACACAGGAUUAUACCCAGACAAAUACAAACACAGAACUACAUCAUCUUCUCCUGGAGGUUUCUGUGCAGAGUAGCUCGCAAAGUUUCACUCCUGCUCCUUACAGAAACAGAGGAAUGCUCCAAGUAGCUUUUCCUUUUAUUUUUCUUUUUUUUCAAUUUUAGAGAACAUUUGAAGUAGAAUAUCCUGAUCAACUCAAAGUCAAUUCGUAUUUUUCUGAAGUUAAAAGGAACAGGGAGCCAAGAGAAGGCAAACUGUCCAAACAAUACAAGCACUGGUGUGCAAAGUAUACACAUACCUCAGCUCAACCUGGGGAGAAACUGUGGGGAAGGGAAAGGAGGAAGGAAGGCGAAUUGGGAACGUGUCCUGAUUUAUAGGAUUGCUUGACAAAUCCUCCAGUGUUUUAAAUCCACAGCUGCCACUAUUACUUUUUUCUUUUUCUUUAGCUAUUACUUUAUUUUUCAUUACUUGAGGCAUGUCAGAAACCAAAACUGAAAACAGAGAUAAGAAAAACUACACUGAGCUGUAAAUCUCUUUCUGAUUUAGUCUGCAACCUCAUUUUUUCAGAUAACCAGCAUGACUCAUUCUGCCCAAGUUAACUUUUAAACAUGCACAUGUAGAUUGGAUUGGUCAGAGAUUUGGACACCAAGCUGACAGAUGCUCGUGUGCAUAACAGACACACCCUUUUAUAUAAAACUUUAAGACUGGGGGAAAAAACCUCUUUAAUGUCUAGAACAGUUAACACACUAGAGACUUCUGGAGGAUCCUCCUGAUAGCACCCAAACAUCAAUUUCCAAUGAAUUAAUCACAGAUCUCUAAAUAGUGACACAACAAGUCAUUAUCAUUGCUUACAAGCCUCUGCUCACAAUUGUCAGCCAGCAAUCUGGCAAAUCCCCAAAAGACAGGAAUAGGAUAAAAAACUGGCAUGAAUGAAGAGGCAAAGGCAAGGAAAGCAGAGUGACAUGGGUAGUUAACAGGAAUGUGAAAUGCUUAUUAACAAUGAUUCAGAAGUGAAAAACAUUGUUUUGUCGAGCAAGAUUUCCUAUUCCUUUUAAAUAUUUGAUUGUUGCAGAUUUGCAUUAUUAAUAUUCAUAAGUGCAGGAUGCCAAACCAAAGAACAUCAAAAUCUGCUAAGACAGGAAAUCUGAACUGAUUUUCUGUAUUUCUUAGCUGAAAUGCCUACUUACUAUCUUCUCCUGGACAAGGCAUGCCAGGCCGCUCUGGGACACAAGGAAACACUGCAAGAAAGACAUUAACUUCUGAUUAGCUUUCAUUUCAGACACAAAAUAAAUCUUUGGGUUAAAUGCAACACUCCUGAAAGGCAUUCCAUCUAGAGAACAGCACUGACUGCACUUCAACAAAACCUUCUUUAAGAACAGAAGAGCUAAAAGCACAGUGAAUGCUUAUCAGCAUCCCUUGACAGGAUGGCCACAGGCCUGAGAGGAAAAGGAUGUGAAAGGCACAGGAAUGGAAGCUGCUUCAGCACUGCCAAGACUUACACCAGGACUUUCAAAAGCAGUUAGAGGUCGACUCUCUCCUCAAACCUCAAUGGAAACUUUUGACAAAUAUCAUAAUCUAAGUGCAACACCCUGUUUUUCUGAUUUGUAACUACUACUUUCACACUCACACAACUAUUUGAAAUAAAAUUCCUUAAAGAAAGGAUACCAAGGCAAAAAAAAAGGUGGGAGUUGGCUGGUUUUGUUUCUUAUUUUUUUAAUAAAACAACUGCAGUUUUGUUGACCAUUUGUGAUGGUGCAAACUAAAUUACAUACCAAAUCCUUGAUGAUAAAGUUUCUCAAACUUUUCUGUUUUCUUCGGUGUCUGAUGCAGAUUAGUAACAUUAUUAAAAAAUUAGCCCCCUAAGAGAAUAAGCCUUUUUCAAAAUAAUAUUGUAACUGAAACAUUUUAAAAACAAAGUUGAGUCUCAAUCAUCACUGCCCCAAAGAAAGAAAAUACUUUUAGUUAUAAGCUCAACUUUUUCCCCCCCCUCUUCAUCUACACAAGAUGUUCUGUGCAAGAACAAGGGAUUUAUCUCUGCCUGCUUGUCCUCCAGCAUGAGCAGAAGUUCAUUUUUAGCCCAAAUCCCAUACAGCAAAUCUGCCUUUCCAUAUUCCUAAUUUUUAACAGAAAUACUACUUUCCAUGUCUUUAAGUGGCAAACUGGAGGAAGGCAGAAUCAUUUCCAUCCCGGCUAAACUGGAUCCAGUCUGGAAGUUUUACUGCUUUGAGUCCUCAGUCAAUAGCACAGUCAGAAAGUCCACAAGCAACAGAGCAUUAACUAUUCUCUUUGUGUUUUAUACUGCAAGGCAUCCAAAUUAAUACAGCCACUGCUAAAGCUUUUCAGUGCAACCACACACCCAGCAGCAGGAGGCAUUUCAACUCACCCCACAGAAGUUUUUCCAGAGAAUUUGUUUUGUUUCUAAUGUAUCACAGUGCUUUGUUCCAACGUAUCUUCCCCCAGAACAGGAAGGACAUGGACCUGUUGGAGCCAGCCCAGAGGAGGUCACCGAGUUGAUUAGAGGGAUGGAGGACUCAGCUAUGAGGAAAGGCUGGGACAGCUGGGACUGUUCAGCCUGGAGCAGCUUUGGGGUGACCUAAUUGUGGCCUGCCAGGACCUGAAGGAGCCAACAAGGAAUGUGAAGAGAGAGACUGUCUGCAAGGGAUGGAAUGACAGGACAGGGAAUGACAGCUCCACACUGACAGAGUGUGGUUCAGAUCACAUAUUGGGAAAAAAUUCUUCCCUGUGAGGGUGGGGAGGCCCCGGCACAGGGUGCCCACAGAAGCUCUGGCCAUCCCUUCUCUGAAGUGUCCAAGGCCAGACAGGAUGGGGCUCUGGGCAGCCUGGGACUGUGGAAUGAGACAAUCUGUAACAUUCAACCAACCCAUUCUGUGGUUCUAUCCAUUCUAUGU